Long non-coding RNA from Penaeus monodon (black tiger shrimp), 484 nucleotides. RefSeq lists it as uncharacterized. The transcript is spliced from 2 exons. NCBI's taxonomy places the organism in Eukaryota, Metazoa, Arthropoda, Malacostraca, Decapoda, Penaeidae. The record is from RefSeq and is a predicted model, not a curated record.
GGUCACAGGGAACUCAUGCCCCGAGGACCACCGUUCUGGGGUUCCACAGACAGCUACAAGGCGGCGCCCGAUGGAGGAACGUCCCAGAACUGCGCUGGCCUGUACAAACGCGAUAAUUAUUACAUGCACGACCUUCGCUGCAACGGCGCUGCGGCUCCACUUUGCCAGAAAUUAUAACAAAAUACCCACAGUGCAUAUUCUAUCAUGGCAUACAUGAUGCCAUAGUUCUUCAGAUAAUUUUCCACAGAACAAUCCCAUACAAAGUAUUUUUAAGGUGUUAUGGAUAGCCUACUUUUUUUUUUCUUUCUUUCUUUUUCUGCAACUUUUGAAAAUAGUAAUCCUUGUAUUCUUAUGAAAUGCAUGUGAGUUUACGUUAUGUAAUAAAUCCCCGUGGCUUUUUUAUUUCGUUUCGUAAGUAAUUGAUGUAAGUUCAUACUGCAUUUAUAUAAGUUUGUUGCCCGAAAAAUACAUGCCUGGAGAGUAA